RNAcentral lists this long non-coding RNA (780 nucleotides) under Phasianus colchicus (ring-necked pheasant). RNAcentral's name for it is "lncRNA (ENSPCLG00000001079.1)". Lineage: Eukaryota; Metazoa; Chordata; Aves; Galliformes; Phasianidae. The record is from RNAcentral.
CACCAUGGCAGUGCCAGGGAGAUGACAGGUCCCCAAGAGGGGUGCAUAUCCCCAUGAAGGCCUUGUGUGUCAGCCCCAAAACAGGUUUCAAAUCUGGUUGUGUAUGGAAGAAGCAGUACUGCAGCUCCUUCCUGGUUAUCUGAUAGCCAAAUCCCACCAAACUCUAAAGUGACUUGUCAGAGAUGCACACUGGAGUGGCAGAGCCAAGGGGCCAAAGGAAAGGCAGUUCCUUGUGACAUUAUCUUAAUGUCAGGCUGAAUCUGCUUGUGCUGCCUACAUGGAGCUCUACCCAAAAGGAUAAAGCAAGUUAGCAAAUGUUUGUCAGUCAAUAAAAGUUAUCUUCAAAGAAGCAAGAGAACAACAAUGUGGCUUUGGAAGAUGCCAAGAGGAAGGAAGUUUUCUCCUCUCUUUCCAGGCAUCUUUGUUUCCCAGAUUUCUGGCCAGGAACAGAACCUGGAGUGCCCAAGUGCUGCGGUGAAGCAGGCUGUCAUGACAUUUCCAACCCAACCAGUAGUGCAGGAAAUCUCCCAAGAAAGAUUGUUUUUAUAGGCUCCCAGAAGGCUUGCAUAUGUCAGAUACGCUUAUCCAGACCAAACCCAGCCUUCCUGAAAUUCAUUCCUCACUAACAUUAAUGCUUUUUUCCAUGUCAGUUUGAGUGGUGUGAGAUUUUUGGCAACCAGGGAGUAGUAAAGAUUUGUUUACAGCUGUUUUGGAAUGGAUGCUGGUUUGUUUAUUGUAAUUCAUGCCAAAUAAAUAUUUCAUAACAAGUAAUAUAUUCCA